GCCGAGGGCUGAGGUCGGAAAACAAUCGCGGACCCGCGGGAAGAAGACGCCGGCCCCUCCCGCCGCCCCGAUCCCGGGCAGUGCCUAGAACAGAAGUAUGUGUAGAAUGAUGAAUGACACAUUCAUCAUCCCCCUUGAUGGACAGAGCCAGCAUCAGAAGCCAAGCAGAAGAAGUACCUCCAGAAGCAAACCUCUGUUCUACCCAGAAAUCAGAACCAAGAUAGAACAAAAAUUAAACAUGAACCAAACACUCU
This is a long non-coding RNA of Sapajus apella (tufted capuchin), 254 nucleotides long. RefSeq lists it as uncharacterized. The transcript has 2 exons. The record is from RefSeq and is a predicted model, not a curated record. NCBI's taxonomy places the organism in Eukaryota, Metazoa, Chordata, Mammalia, Primates, Cebidae.